RNAcentral lists this unclassified non-coding RNA (464 nucleotides) under Hevea brasiliensis (rubber tree). Lineage: Eukaryota; Viridiplantae; Streptophyta; Magnoliopsida; Malpighiales; Euphorbiaceae. The record is from RNAcentral.
UAGGCGAGCCAAACAUCAAUGACUAGAGAUGCAAAAGAGAAAUAGUUAAACAUAAAAAUUCGUUAAAGGAAAAGAAAUCCAUUCAUAAUCUUUUUUAUUUCUAUAGCAACAGCACAAUUUUAGGUUAGUAGCUGAUGCUUCUUCUAAAUGCAAUGGCCAUUGACUGCAUGAUUGCAAUAAAUAAUUAUCAUUGAAUGAGACUGAGUACAAACACCAAGUAUGAUUCACUAUUGAGAUAAAUAAUUAAAAAAAUUAUUAUUUAGUACCUGUAUUUUAAUGAAAUUAACUAUUUGGUCUCUAUAUUUUAAAAAUAUAUUAUUUAUCUCUGUAAAAAUUUUUGUUAAACUAUUUAAUCCCUUUGUCAAAUUUUCCGUUACCCAUACUAUUCACAUUACUAAUUAUUUCUUUUAUUUUAAAGAAACUAAUUAGUUGAUCCCUAUAUUUUGAAAAACAUUACUAUUUAG